Molecule: long non-coding RNA, 200 nt
Filed under: Elaeis guineensis (African oil palm)
Lineage: Eukaryota; Viridiplantae; Streptophyta; Magnoliopsida; Arecales; Arecaceae
Description: long non-coding RNA (EGUI_LNC022677)
Source: RNAcentral
AAUAUAAAGGAUGGAUUCCUUCUGGACUGGAUAGUACCGCCACUGUCGAAGUGCGUUAUCCAUAGCAUAGAACUAAAUAUCAUAGAUAAAGUAGUUCAACUUGGACCUCGAUAAUUUUUUGCUGUGGAAAAAAAUGGGCCAUCCUUCUUGGCUGAAAACUCCACCGAUCCUAGUAGAAGAAGUAUCACACUUCCCCUCAA